Non-coding RNA from Cordylochernes scorpioides, 75 nucleotides. NCBI's taxonomy places the organism in Eukaryota, Metazoa, Arthropoda, Arachnida, Pseudoscorpiones, Chernetidae. The record is from the annotation of a GenBank genome assembly.
UGACCAGGGAUGGGAAUCGAACCCACAGUGUUCCGCUUACCGGGCAGAUGCCAUGUCCACUAGGCUACCUUGGAC